AACCACACCAGCUUAGUCACCGCGUAUUUGCCCACACCGCGUAUUUGCCCAACCCACCCAUACUUUCAACUUCAGGAGAGAAUAUUUCAAGCUUUCCUCGAUGAAUAGGUGGGGCUGGUUAUGGGAUGGAAUCCAAGACGUCUCCGGUACGGGUCUUUUGGGUGUAAACGAUCCAUGUGCUGCUCGUAAUCCCAAGCACUAGAAAGAGACAACGUGUUCAUGUGAAAGCCAGCGAGAUCACGCUGGCCUCUGUCUUCGUUCCAGAGCUGGCUGGCUGACUCAUCCCCUCGGUUAUGAGUCUGGUGUCAUCAAGUGGGAAGUCUCUCCACUGGCAAACAAAGCAGCGUAUAUACAUGUCUUUGUCCCACUAUACCAUUUUGGGAAUGCAAACUCAUGAUGCUUCAUGUGAUUCUCUGCGUCCAUAGUACGGAAUGUGGGAGAUAUGUCUCCCACAAAAGAGAAGGGUAGGAUGACAACUGUUUUGAGGAUACAGCUUGGUCAAGUCACAUGGGAUGAUGC
Molecule: long non-coding RNA, 519 nt
Filed under: Elaeis guineensis (African oil palm)
Lineage: Eukaryota; Viridiplantae; Streptophyta; Magnoliopsida; Arecales; Arecaceae
Description: long non-coding RNA (EGUI_LNC010732)
Source: RNAcentral